This 12347-nucleotide long non-coding RNA is filed under the name Equus asinus (donkey). RNAcentral's name for it is "lncRNA (ENSEASG00005034480.1)". The record is from RNAcentral. Lineage: Eukaryota; Metazoa; Chordata; Mammalia; Perissodactyla; Equidae.
UCUUUGAUAUUAAGGAGUUGUUCAUUUUUAUUAGGUAUGACAAGGGUAUUAUGGUUAUGUUAUAAAAAGUGAUAAUUUAGAAAUACACAUAAAUAUUUACAGAUCAAAUCUUUUUAGGCAUUUGCCUAAAAAUAAUAUGAAAGGGAGAGUGUUAUAAACAGGGCGCUUAGAAAAAGUAAGGCCUUUCAGGAGUUGAGUAAGGUUAAAGCUGGGUGAUGGUUCCAUCGGGGUUCCUUCCACUCCCCUGUCUACUUUUGCAUAUAUUUCAAAUUGUCUAUAAUAAGUUUUAGAAAAUAACUUUUAACUUAUAGGACAUUAUAGUUGAUUAUAGCUAUUCACAUCAACUUUUGUUUCAAUUCCAUAAAUUAUUAUUUACAUUGAAUUUAAGGAAGGCAGUGGUAUAAGUAUUCAUGUCCCAGUCCUCAUGUUUUUAUGGCUUAAAGGGGAAAACAAUUAGCAAUCCAAAAAACCCCGCAAAACUAUGAGAUAGAUGGAGCAGGGCCUUGUAAGUCAUGUUGAGGAGUUUGCGUUUUAUCCUGAACAUAAUAAAAAUGUUUUAACCAGAGGAAAAUAUCGUUUCUCCAUAUUAUUCACUUUAACUUGAUGAAUUGAUUAAAAAAGGGCCAAAUAGUGGAGGAGUGUGAUCAGUUAUAGUUGUCUAGGCUUCUAUUGGUAGAAGUCUGUAACACAAAGGGUGAGAAGGGAGAAUCAGCAAAAAAAUUGAAAAGAAAUGGUGGGUGAAUAAGUGGUGGCAUGAAGCUGGGAGAUGGGGUCUCAAGAGUCAAACACCAACCAGGGGUUAAGUGGAAUGAUUAUUUAUUGCCUAAACCACGUAAGCCAUAAUGGUAUUUGAUCUUGUCAUUCCUCUUCUCAGAAACACACAAUGGCCUUCCGUUACCCCUAAGAAUAACGUCCACUCUCUUUGCUGUGGCAUUCAGGGCUCUGGUCUCAUCUCUCUGUAUAUCUUUUUACGCAUUAUAUGCUCAGGACACACUGCUUUGAUUUGAUGGGGUAAGCUCAGAAAUUUUAUGACUUCUUCCUUUGGCAAACGCUGCUCAGACUGAGUAUAAUUCUCCUUCUCUAUCAAAAUUGGUCUCAUCCUUCUAAGUCUUAGUCUAAACACCAACUUCACCAUGAUCCUCCCUAGUCUGUAUCCAUUUCUCCUCCCUACAUGCCCUAAGAGCAUUAACUGAACCUCAGUUUUGCACUUGUUACUUCCAUGUGGCUUUAUGCAUAUUACAGUCAUUUUCAUAUCUUCUCCCCAACUAAGUUAGAAACCUCUUGAGACCAAACAAUGUGUUAAUUCAACUUUAUCUUCCCUGAUUACCUUACCUAUUUUAGUGGCUAAUAAAUAUUUAUUGAAUUAAAAUGAUUUCUUAUCCCCUUGUGUACAUAUUACAACAAAAUAUAGAUUAAUGACAAAGUUUCCAUAGAAAAAUUUGAUUUUAGCUUAAUACGUGCUCAACCAUGUUGUAAACGUGUGAAAACCUUAAGAUAUCAAAUGACAGGGCAACUUUAUGAGAGUGCAUAAAAUUCUUUAUUUAGAACAAUAAAGUAUAUGUAUAUAUAAUGUAAUUUCAAAUUCAAACCUGUAUAAAAAAGGGUCAGGACAUAUACCUAUUUUAAAAAGUACACAUACAGUAUAUACACAUAACACAUCACAUUUUACAACCUUUUUUAUUUAAUUAAACUUCAGUCAUAAUAAAACUAUUUAGAAUAGUGUUGACAUACAUUUACAUUACAAUACGCAAACUCCAAUCUAUGACUGACUAGCAAUAUACCUGUGCAUCCAUCUAAAUAUCUGAAUACUUUUCAAGUCCAUUGACUUAAAAAACGUGGCAAGUGGGACACUAUAAUCACACAUUAAUCCUUAGACUAUAGAAUAGGAUAUUUUGAUUGGAAAAUUUUAUUUAGUGAGUCUUAUAGCUCAGAAAUCAAGUAACUGAAAAUACUAUGGUUUUUAGUUCAAACUAUUAUUAUCUUAAUUUUAUUUUUAAAAACAACAUCAUAAGGAUGUAGUUGGAGAUGGCAGUUAUAAAUUUACAAUGCUUAGCAAACAUUUUAGGAUCAUAAAUAUUCAUUUUAAUAUGGAUUAUUUCUAAGACAACACCUUUUUAGGAAAUCAAAGUACCAUUAUUUUAUCUUUUCAAACAAAGGCAUUUCCAGACUUGUUAAUGGAAAGCAGCAACACCAUCAAUUGUAUGAUCAAAUACCAAAAAUGAACUAGUCAGAAUUUCCACCUGAAUGUUUAUCUUUUAAUGCCAUUUCAAAAUAAUAUUGUUUCAAAGACAAGCUGGCUUACUUUAAAAUUCUUAUCCCCCUUUUCAAUUUUAAAAUGUAAUUUAUGGAUUACCCCUUUCCAAAUGGAUUCUAAAUGAUCUUUUGGCAUUCAAAAAUGUUAUGAGCAUCUUACAUUUUCUGCUCUUAGCUUUUAAUAAAAUGAGAGCAUUUAAAUCCUUGAUGUGGGGCAUUUCCAAAUGUUACACGCAUUUUAUAGAAUCUCUUCCUGACUAAAAUCACGAAAAUGUACUACUGGUUUUCACUCUUCAGAGGUGAUCCAAAAACAUUUAUUUAAGCAAAGAAAAAAGCCAUCUCUUGUAUACAUGGUUAUCCAAUUCACCCUACAUGAGACUGAAUUUCACUUUUACUAAUGGACCCUAUUUACAUUACAAACAAGAACUAACGGUAAUGACUUUUUAUGUUCAAAUUGCUUAUUCACAGAGAUCAGAGUUGGAUAUUUUAUAUGGAAUAGUUUCAGCUCUGUUUUAUCUUUUUUGUCUGUCAUAUAUCAAUAGGUUUCACACCUAAGAUGUGACCUCCAAGUUCAGUAUAUAAAUAAAAGAAUUGAGAUCCAAAGAGGAGAGGUGAUUUACCAAUAUGAGUUAACGGCAGAAUAGAGCCUCCUGACGAUUUUUCCCAACAUCUACCCCACUAAGCCAAACUGUCUUUUUAAAAAAAUACAUUUUUUAGUUAAAGAAGCAUAGAUAUGGAAUGGCUAAAAGCUCUAUAUUGGAAUUACAUGUUGAAACAAAACCUAGCUGCAGAAAAACAUUAAGAAAUACCCAUGAAUUCUGAAUAGAUGUUUUUGUUAAUUUAACUUCAAUUGAAUUAGAGUACCAAAAAAUGCCACAACGUUUCUCCAAAGUACUUUAAUGCUCAAUGAAAUGUGUUUCUGAUUAAAAGCAAACAACAUUUCAUUAUGGACACAUACUUUUUCAUAUGUUUUCAUUUUUCACAUACUUAACCCUUUUUUAAGAGGAUAGGUUCUAUUACUGUAUUAAAAAACAAUCUGACUCAUUAAAAAGUGGCACUGUGGUAAGCACAUUAGAUUGUAAUACAGAAUCCAGGAGCACUUCCAUAUCACUGAACAGGCACCAUUUAUCACAGAGCCAGUUUCUUUAUAGACUUGGGUUCUACCAAAGAGGUGCAAAACUUUCAGUAUAAUUUAGAAUCUGCAGACUUCUGACAUCAUUUUAAAAGGCAAUUUUGAAACAUUACAAAAGAGAAUGAUCAGAUACAUGGCACCAAUUUAAAAAGUGAUUUCACGGUUUACAAUGUCAGUUGUGAGUUUUCCAUGAUUUAUGAAGACGGAUAUUCAGAAUACAUAUCAGAUAACAUAAAGCCUAGAUAUAGAUAUAUUUCUUUUUAUCUCAAAGCAGAUAUGACACAGUUAAUGCCCAAGCAGCUAGCAUCCAAAAUAAUGUCCAGCAUUUUUCUAUUGUUCACGCAUUUUAUGGAACUUUAGUGUUUUAAAAAUUGGUAAUCCAUGUAACUCUCAAUGAACCAAUGUUUCAUUAGGCAGAAAACAUCUCCCCUCACCUACUAUGCCAAAUUUCAAAACUUGCUGAAUAUGUCUAUUUAACUGUAUUGAUUAGGACCACGUCCUUGAGUGUUAAAACCCAGCUCCUAGCCUUGAGAACAAAAGCACAUUUACUGUACUCUCAAGCUCAUUAAACAGCAUAUUCACAUGCCUAAGAAAAUUGAAACCACCGGUAAAAGAAACCAAACUAUUAGAUUGAGAAGUACCAAUCUUCUCAUCUACACAUGACCUACACACAAAACUCAUAUUAAUCUAUGUCUAUUUUCCUCAAAACGUCAAUAUCACACACUGAGACAGGUCCUUUCAGCAAUUAAACUGAUUUCUGAUUUUCAAUUAAUCAAUUGUACCAUGGGAUAUCUGAGGGCCUGAAUAAGUUAAUGCAGCUUCCCAAAGCAACUGGCUUGGAUCUUAGUGAAAUGACUAGUGUUUGAAGAACCACAGCACUUUAGAGAAGGAAGGAAUCGUAGAAAUCAUCUGGGCUCUUUGGUACAAAAAAGAGCAAAGGCCACUUACUGAAAUUAUAUCUGGAUUAGCUCUGAACAUAAGCUAAAAUCCAAAGAUACUAGAAAUUCUUGGACUCUUGAAAUCAAAGGAAAGCUAGCAGUUAGUUUGUUAUGUUCUUUCAUAUCACUACAUUGAAAAUGGUCACCUGAUGAUGGCAGAACAUGGCAAUAAUGUUAUUACAAGGACUAAGUUAGAAUGGAAAGCUUUGGACUCCUUUAUGUGUAUGUUCGUGAUAUGCUAAAAGAACUUUCAUCAGAAUAAACCAUAAGAAAUCAUUCUUUGACUUUAGUCAGAUGUUCCUUUGACUGCAAAAAAAAAUUGGCAAGGGGAAUUCACAUGAUGUCUUAUAAAUUCUAGUUUAAAAGCGCAAGUCCAUCUUGGAAAUUCUUGCCAAAUUCACUCUUAAUAUGACAAAUGCCAUCACAAAUUUUAAAUAGCAAACUGACAUGCAUAACUACAUAAAGCUCUCAUUUUUAAUUCAUAAACCUUAAUGAAUAUAGAGCGCCUGAUUUUAAAUAAAUGGAUCCUUUAAACAGAUAAUAGUGAUUAUACUAUAAAUAACUAGUUUCCUGAUUCUUUGCAUUCUUGUAAAAGCCAAGUAACCUAGUUUUCAACACCCAUAUUAGCAUGUGGGUGUGGUUUUCUACCUUUAGGUACUAAAUAUCAUAAUUUAUUUUUACUCUCUCCCAUGGCAGAAAUUGAAAAUGGGACCUUCAUACAUUCAGCAAUUUCUCCUAAGUCCCUUUACAUAACUCUGUAAUAGCUUUAGAAUAUAAACAUUUCGUAUAUAUAUUUUGCAAGCACAGUUUAUACACUUUAUUGUGGUCAAGGGAAAAGGUCAUCCUCACCAUGGGUGCCAGAUGUCCUCCUCGGUGACUGUCCCACUGUUCAAUGUUCAUAGCUGCUUUGUGCGAUGACUCUUUUGGAGUCUCUCCUCUGCAAAGGUGUCACUGUUCUAAUUCAGUACUGGCUCCCCUGCAUGGAUAGAUCCAGCCAACCAUGCCCAUUUGUCUAGUGGGAUAUAGGUGGGUGUGGCUUAUGUCAGGAAGAGACCAAGAUCAGACCCAUAUCAUUAAUCUGCGGCUACAAGGCUGACACGUUGCCUGCUCCAAUCAGUUUGUUGACACUGUUUUCUACUGUACAGUGGCUGAUGCUAUAAGUUUUUGUUUUUAAAAUUUUUUCCAGAUCCCUUUGAGAAAAAUUAUUACCCCGACUAUCCAGGCUGAAAUCUACUUGCAGAGACCAAGAUAACUACGGUUGUAAUUGAAAAUAAAGCUAUGUGGCUUUUCAGUAAUUAGACAUUUCUGGAGGCAUGCAAGAUGGUGCAUGCAGUCUGGAACACAUGCUUUCUUUUCCAACAUCAGUUAUAAGUUCUAAAUGAGACCACAAGUCCCCCAGGUCUUAAAAUAGAGUCCUGCUCCAUGCAACUUCUUCUUUACAGAUGAUUAAUUCAGUGCCAGUUUCACAGUAAAAUACUUUGUUCCAAUUUCUGAAUCAUCCAUACAGAGUUGUGGGUAGUAAGAACAGAUAAAGAUGCAGUCUGUCACUCCAGACAGAAUAUGAAUUUGUUUAAAGCUGCUUCAUUUAUGAAGCAAACAUGAACUGUUACCCGCCUAGAAAAGAAAAAAUAAAAAGAGAUUAUGGCGUAUCUGCUUUCUGCCUUCUUCUCAUUCUCAAUGGCUGAAUUCACACGACUACAGAAUGAGUAAUAGAUUUACAAGGCAUGCUUCACUUACACAGCCUACAAGAACUUGAUAAAUGUUUUCCUAGAUACUCUGAUCAGUCAUUCUCUAUGAUCUCCCUAGUAGCAGUUAACAUUAUCCGAAGUGAUCUUGCUCAGUUUAUUGAUUGUCUCCUCCCAUUAGAAUGUAAGUUCGGUGAGGACACAGAGCGUUGUCUAUCUUUUUUACUGCUCUACUCCAACCCCUAGAACACUGCCUGGUACAAAAUCCGUACUCAAUAAGUAUUGCUUAAACAAAAGAAUGGAGGAGUGAAUGCUGUGGCUUUCAUACCCCCAGGCAUACCAUAGAUUAUUGCCAUUUGUGAUAAGAGGGUUAUCAAUCUAUAUAGCCUUAGAUUUCUCUAAGAAGGCUCUGAAAAGACAGUAGACAGGUGGUGAGGGGAGAAGGUGUGAAGGACAAAGGCAGUGUCUAGAGAGAGAAGAUGUGGAGAUAGAUGGAGUCGCAUGAAAGAGAUGGGGCAGGUGGAGAAGCUGGUCACAGGCCACCAACAAAUAAUAGCCUCCUGGACACUGAGCAGCGCCAGCAUCUUGACCACCUACCCAGGUUCUAGCAACUACUUCUCUCAAAUGAGGAAACAGCAGCAGCAAGAUCUCAUUCAAUACUCUCAGCCAAAAAAAGACAGAAAUCCUGGCACCACAUCCUGACUAAGCCUCUGGGGAGGUUCAUUUGGCCUCAGGACAGCUUUGGUGCUUGUUGAAGCAUGAAAGCCAGACUUUGUUUUAGUUGUUCAGUGUGUGUUAAAGCACUGAGCUUUGGACUCAGCUUUCAGACUUCUUGACUUCCAAGUGAAGUAUUUGUACUUCCUUGACUAUUCUUUCUUAUAGAUAGUAUCUUCAUGCUAUCUUCAAUCACAACCCCUCAAUGUGUAUCUUGCAUUUCUUUUCUUCCUGACUCACUAUUCUUUCCCUAUCUUUGUCUUUAUUUAUCAAUCCCAGAAUCACAGAUCGAUUGGUUUUAAAAUAAUUGGGAUCAUUAUACAAAAUAAGGACAGUAUUUUUUCCAGUCUUUCUGUAUGUAAUCUAUUAAAAAACUAUAUUACCUAAUAAUUUACCCAACAGAGAACUCUAGAAACUAGAGAACCUGUAUUUGAGAAAGUAGAAUUAAAUCUUGAAGGAAAAAUUAAGAAACAUUAAGGGAAAACUUCAGAAAUCCAAAAUACAUGACAGAUAUUUCAAAAAUAAAGCUUGGUUAUUAAAGCAAAAGAGAAUCAUGAAAAAGCAAAAGGAUUUUUUUUAAAAGCUAUGAAUAAUUUGAAAUUCUAAACUUGAUCAAAUGCAGAGAAGAAAGAUUGGAAAUUUAUUUCUGAUUUUGUUGCUGGGUCAUUUAGCAAAGAAAAUAAACUUGAAAGCUCACAACUCUUUCCCCAUAGAACAAAACUACAAUUUUUGUAAUGAUACCUCGGAUUCUUGCAACAACCCCAGGAAAUAAGCAGAGUGAGUAUUAUUAUCCCCUCCUUAUAAAUGAAAAAGCAAACAUUGACUCAUCCAGGAACCCAGAGCUGGUUAAGUUGCAGAGCCAAGGUUUGAAUUCAAGUCUAAUCUCUUCUAAUUCUCUGCAUUAUAAUGUGUCUACAGAAAGAGAGCUCAAAAACAAAACUUUCAAAGCUCCAGAAAUUCUUAGAAAAUGUCUGGUAAAGAGUCAUAGAUCUUGCCAUUUGGUAACCAACCAUUCCCAAGUUCUAUGCACUGAACGACCAAACUUGACUUGAGCUCAUCUGUAUUCCAAUUAUAGAACUCUUUUCUUCUGUCUUAGUUGAGAUCUAUCAGAAACUUCCAGGUUGUGUUUCCUUUAUGAAUCUCUCCACCAGCCUAAUUAUACAGCCUAAUUAUAAUUAUUUUCUGCCCUUACCAUGCUGGGGUAAGUCAAUAAACACUGCUAACUGAGUGCCUACAAACUCCUGCUACUUACUGUCAACCAAACUGGGCCUUGUCUGUGACUAGGCAGUCCUUCUCCCAAGGUCUCAAUUACAAUUCUUUGUAGAUGACUCCCAAAUCCUAAACCUAUUAUUUCCAACCCUGACUGUUCUCUGAAGUUCCAGUCUUGGAAGACCGGCCACUGGUCAAUAUUUACUAACAGCUCCUUGUCCCAUUUUCUUUUAAUGGCAUCGUCAUCUAGUCAGUCCCAUAGGCUCCGAAUCAUCCUUGAGUACUGCCUGUGAUGUCAAGCCUCACAUACCAUCAGUAACUGGGCUUUGUUGAUUCUUUUACUGAAGUGUCUCCAAAAUGGUCCAUGCUUUCCUAUUUCUAUGGCCCUGACCCUAGUUCAGGUCAUUCUCUCACAUCUAUUUGGAAGACUGGCCUCCUAAGUGGACUCCCUGAUUCCAGUUCACUACUCCCAUCCAUCUGCCCACACCAACAUCUGAUUUCUUUCCUAAACCCUCCAACAAUUCCUUAUAUUACUCAGUAGAGUGUAAGCCCUGUACUUGGAAGUCAGACCCUUUUUCAAAUUGAUUCCCACUCUUUCUUCUCAGCAUUUUAACCCUUUAUGUUUGACUUCCACUGGAGUCCAGCUGUAGAAACUGACUCUUAAACACAGUCUGUACCGGGGCCUCCCUGACUUAGUUUACACCAUUUAUAGUAUCUGGAUUACUCCUUCUCUAUUGCUAGUAAAAUUUCACCAAUCAUCCAAGAUCUAGCUCAGUACAAAUGCCACCUCCAUUAUCUACACAAUGAAGCCUUUCUCCUGUUGGUAGUGAUUUCUUUCUCCCUUCAAAUAACGCAAUUGUAUAUGUGUGCAUGUUACAAUUCUAAGGGAUGCCACCCAUUCCAAUGUCUAGAGCUAUGUUGAGGACACAUCCUGCACAACAACAUGCAGUGGCCUUGCCUUUGGUCUCACUGCAUUUUCUUGGUAAGUGCCUUUCGUUGCUUUGUAAACCUUACAAACUUCCAGUUUCCUAUAUAUAAUAGGUUAUCAUGCUUAUAUCUUAUUUCCUCUUGUAGGCUUUAAGCAAUUUGAGGACACAACUAGGUUACUUUAAGCUCUGUAUCUAACAAUGCACCUACCAGACUUUGUUGGAGUCAUAUUUGUGGAAAGAAUGAAGCAUACAAUUUUCCUAUGAUAUACUCUUAUUUUAUUUCUUUUCUUAAACUCUGCUACACAAAAGCCAACAAAUGAAAACUCCUUAUGGAAUGCCACAUAUGGAUACUUGGCAUCAGUUAGUUAACUAAGGGGAUUUUUAACUUUUCUUCUAUUUUCAUGCUUGAUGUCAAAGAAUCACAGCCUUAGCAUAUUUUCUCUUAGAGGCAACAUCUUUUGUUUCUAGUUCAUUAUCUAUAUUCCUUCCACAUAUUUAAAAUAUCAAACCCUCCUUUACUUCACUUUCCAAUUACAGCUUGGAGAACUAACUAUUCCAUAUGCUUCCUGGUCUAGUGUUCCAAUAUUUGUCCUGAUUUAAUUUGUUUUAGUUGGUGAAAUUUCCAUUUCAGGGAGAAAUUCUUGCCAUAAACCUGAGUCAUUCCCUGCAUUUUUCCCUCUCUUGUUAACCAAGGAAAUGACUAUAAUCCAAAUUACAUCUAAUUUUUUAAAUAUCUAGUUACAACUCCACAUUUCUUUUCUAUCUAGGUAUUUUUCACUACUGCUAUUCUUGUUUCUUGGCAGAUUUCCCCUCCUACCAAAUCAUAGUCUGCUCUCCCAAAUCUUUCCCUCCAUCACAUCCCUCUUCUCAAAUUAUACUCAAAUUUCCUUGGCAUGUUUUAAACCUCUGUUGGUACAGGGCCAAGUAUAAGGCUUUACUCUAUACAACAGGUACUCAGUAAAUGACUAGAAAUGAUACAUACACAUUUUGACUCUGGGGUUUGAAGAUUCAUGAUAAUGAGCUGGUUCUUUUUUCUUCCCUUUUCCUAUCUUUCUGUCAAUGUUUGAAUUCUUAUUUACUUCUACCUACAUAAGUCUAUCUUUGUUUCCAUAAAUUUUAUUCUCACAUUAUUGCAUUUCUGAGAUAUUCAUUCAUCUCUCCAUUCAUUUAUUCAACAGCUAUUUCUUCAUCACUUACAUGUGCAAAGUAUAAGCUCUAUAGUUUGGUGGGAUUCCAAAAUGAAAUUCAGAAACCAAUUCUGCCCUCUAAGAGCUUAUGGUUUAGAAGAAGACGCGAAAUGUCUAUCUAGCUAACGAUGAUGUCCUACUAAUAUAUUAGUAUUAUGUGUCAUAUGAAAUAUAAUUAGAGAGCCAUAAAAAGAGAUUACUUUCAUUUGCAAAGCCAGUUUUUUUGGAUGUGCUGGUACCCAAGCUGAACUGUUAGAGAGCUUUGAAGAGAUGAUGAGUAAGGUAUUCUAUGAAGGAGAAUGCCACUUCUUCAUUCAUUCUGUCAUCCAUUUCACACCACCUACUCAAUGAUAUAUGAGUUUAUUUCUAAACAAUUUGGGGUUUCUUUAGCCUGUCUAAUUUCAUUCAUUUAUACAUGAGUAAUAUUUCAUAUUUUAAGAAAAAUAAAUGAAGUUAGUAAUUUCCCAUGACUGUAUUCCCCCUUGCUGUCCUAUUGACUAAUAUCAUCAAAACACAUUUAAUCUUAUCGCAGUAAGAAUAUUUAACACGAGAUCUACCCUCAACACAUUUUUAAGUAUACAAUACAGCAUUGUUAACUAUAGGGAUAAUGUUGUACAGAAGAUCUCUAGAACAUAUUCAUCUCGCAAAAAAACAACAAAGCCCUACUUCAGAAGAACUAUCUUCCCUACCACUUGGUCAAACUUUCAAUUGGGGUUUACUCAUUCACUCAGUUACUCAUUCAACAAACUUUGACUGAGAGCUUACAAAAGCACAGGCAACAGGUGAGGUGAUACAGUAAGAACCAGACAGACUCAGUUUCUGUCUUUGAAUGUUCCCUGACUCGUAGACGUAUGUAUAAGUUGCUUGACUAUGGUAGCUUUAAAAUGCCAUCUUUUUUCUCCUAAACAAGUACCCUGGGUUUUCCCACCAUAAUCCAUUCUCCAAAUGUCACAAUUAAAAACCACACGACUAAAGACUUAUGUGCUGAAACAGGAUCCUAGCAAUGCAAUCCAAAGCCAAACAACAGAGACAUUACUUGAGCCUUUAAAACUCAACCAUUUAACGUUGGUUUGUGGAUGUCUGACUUAAAGGAAUAGAAACGGCAGAUGGGGAAGAUACAGAGAGGCUUGUGUUGGGGUUGAAGGGCAAAGAAAUAGGUUCUAGGAAAAACAGUGACUUCAGCUUGGAGAAUAUGGCUCCAGAAAAAAGUUGAGCAAACAAUCUACUCACUUACAUUAUCUGACAGGAAACAUGAGCCCAGAGAGAAGCUAGGAUGGGGAGCAGAAAAGAAGGGAGGGUGCUAUUCGUGUUUUGGAUACGGGGAUCAAGGACACAAUGAAAGGCAAAACUGAAGAAGUCUGUGUCACAGCAGGGUUAACGUGUUAGAGAAAAAUGUGACACAAUUAUUAUUGUAUCAUGUUAUUUUGGGUUGUUGAAAAAUGAUGUUCCAUAACUAUAAAAGUGAGCUCCCAGGGGAGGCAAGAGGCUCUCUAUGACCCACUUUUCCUAGGGAAGUUUCAAUCUAGAGAUAAAUCUCUGAAUCUGGGACAGAAGUGAAAGCUGGAAGGACAGUGAUCAGUAGGGAAAGGGCAAAGCUCACCACAGACCAUCUUUGCAAUAAUCAAGGAGAGUAAAUGAUCCUCUGACAAUGAGGAAGUAUAGGGAAUAACUGAGGAUUUAGGAAGGUGAGAGAACACUCACACAUCACUGUUAUAAAUGUGCUUGGGAUUCCAUGGGCAUAACAAAAUUAACAGCCAGGUAGCAGAAGUGAAGGUGAGAAGAGCAUGAAUUGAUCUUGGAUCAAGUUAGUUCCAUUCAGGGUGAUUCCCAAAAGUAUCUGGAGCUGAGAGAGUCAACAAAGAGGAGCGAGGAAUAUCAGAGCCUUCUGGCCACGCUUUCUUACCCUCCUUUCUCCACAAGCCCUCCAUGAAUCCACAUAAUCACAAUAGCUCUCUGUCAGCGGUUUAUACACAGUGCAUUCUGGGCUCUGGACUGUGAUGAGGCACAAUUAUUACCAGUCACGUGGCAGGUGGCACUUUACCUGACAAUUUCCCUUUCCUGACUAUAAGAUAUUUUGACCUUUUCUCCUUUUUCUAAAAAAGCAGGGAAACAUUUUUGGCUUUUCCUCAUUUUAGCAUCUAACAAAUGAGAUACUUUUUCUAUUAUGUUAUAGUAGUCACACUUAAUUGAAAUUGGUUUUAUUUACUCUUCCUCUAGCAAUAAUAUUUUAUUUUAGUCCUAAUUUGCCCUAUACCCCUUUUGUCUAAUUUGUUCUCUGGCCUCAAAAAUAAUAAAUACUC